Molecule: ribosomal RNA, 549 nt
Filed under: uncultured Bacteroidales bacterium
Lineage: Bacteria; Pseudomonadati; Bacteroidota; Bacteroidia; Bacteroidales
Description: bacterial SSU rRNA
Rfam family: Bacterial small subunit ribosomal RNA
Source: RNAcentral
CCUUCUGAAAGGAAGAUUAAUCCAGGAUGGCAUCAUGAGUUCACAUGUCCGCAUGAUUAAAGGUAUUUUCCGGUAGACGAUGGGGAUGCGUUCCAUUAGAUAGUAGGCGGGGUAACGGCCCACCUAGUCAACGAUGGAUAGGGGUUCUGAGAGGAAGGUCCCCCACAUUGGAACUGAGACACGGUCCAAACUCCUACGGGAGGCAGCAGUGAGGAAUAUUGGUCAAUGGGCGAUGGCCUGAACCAGCCAAGUAGCGUGAAGGAUGACUGCCCUAUGGGUUGUAAACUUCUUUUAUAAAGGAAUAAAGUCGGGUAUGCAUACCCGUUUGCAUGUACUUUAUGAAUAAGGAUCGGCUAACUCCGUGCCAGCAGCCGCGGUAAUACGGAGGAUCCGAGCGUUAUCCGGAUUUAUUGGGUUUAAAGGGAGCGUAGAUGGAUGUUUAAGUCAGUUGUGAAAGUUUGCGGCUCAACCGUAAAAUUGCAGUUGAUACUGGAUGUCUUGAGUGCAGUUGAGGCAGGCGGAAUUCGUGGUGUAGCGGUGAAAUGCUUA